Anarrhichthys ocellatus (wolf-eel) is the source of this 2679-nucleotide RNA transcript. It is a transcript of the gene named coiled-coil domain containing 12, with no coding region annotated. The transcript is spliced from 8 exons. NCBI's taxonomy places the organism in Eukaryota, Metazoa, Chordata, Actinopteri, Perciformes, Anarhichadidae. The record is from RefSeq and is a predicted model, not a curated record.
UGGAUUUCAGAGAGCAUUGAGCGGUGUGUAGCGUUAGCGGUAGAGAUAAACAUGGAGCGAAAUGUUGGGUCACUGCAAGAGCAGGCCCUGAAGAGAAAGGAGAGGCUGAAAGCACUAAGAGAUAAACAACUUCACGGGCAAGAGCAGGAAGAUGGGGAGCCAGAGAACAAAAAGGCUUCCCUAGAGGAGGCUACUGAAGAAAGGCACAGAGAGCUGAAGCUGAGGAAUUACACUCCAGAGGAUAAAGAGCUGAAGGAGAGGCAGGUGCCCAAAGCAAAACCUGUAUCAGUGGAGGAUAAAGUAAAAGACCAGUUGGAGGCAGCUAAUCCAGAGCCCAUCAUUGAAGAAGUGGAUUUGGCCAACCUCGCCCCGAGAAAACCAGACUGGGAUCUAAAGCGUGACGUUGCAAAGAAACUGGAGAAGUUGGAGAGGAGAACACAGAGAGCGAUCGCCGAGCUCAUCCGGGAUCGUCUACGAGGCAGCGAGGACGAGUUGGCCGGAGUGGUGGGAGCAGUAGGAUUGGAAGAGGGAGACUCGGACUGAAUCCCAGAUGUGACCGAUAGAAACAGGAGCCUGCAGAGGGCUUGCCUCGGUUUACUGGGUGUACCGUCACAUCUGUCUUGUUAAGAGACGGCUACUUUCAUCGCUGCAGGGAGUAAACGGACUGGGCGUCUGUUGCUGGCUGAAGGCCUCCUCCAGGCUGCUGAUGAUGCUGCUCUUGUCCCUGAGGCGCUGGCGGUAUGACGCUCGCAGGGCCUUCAUCUGGCGGCGGUGCUGGACGCGGUGCCUCUUCAGCUGGACCCGGUACUGGUCGGCCUGCUGCUGCAGCUGCUGGAAGUGGGAGUACUGCUCCAGAAAACUCAGCAAGUGGGACAUCACCGCCACCAGGGGAGACUCCGUCAACUGGGCAGUACCGCAGCACACACACACAUACAUAAGUUUAACAUAGCAGAAGCUCCUAUUUGGGGAACUGCUCAUUAAUGUAUCAGGUGAGCAGCUCAGUCAAGGUGAUGACAUAGUUUUGCUACCUUUGCUGUUUCCAGCUGAACCUGCGAGGCCCUCCUCUUCUCAGCCUCCUGCUUAAAGGACAGAAAAGCAGCCAGAGGAGUGCAUGCUGGGAUGUCCGGACCUUGUACCUCACCUUCGUCACUCAGAGACAUUUCAUCGCUGUCACUGCUACUGCCUGGAUGACAACAAAUCACAUAAACAUAAAAUCAUAAGUGAGUAAAGGGAUGUAUGUACUGAAUAAUCAAUAAGUAGAAACUAUCCCUAUAAUGAAUGUUAUAUCAUCCUUCUAUAUCAUAUCACAGCCUUUAUGUUGGACUAUAAAUAAAAGCUAUUUGAGCACUCACUGGAUUCACCAAGCCGAACACAAGCCUUUUUUCCCAUUUUGGAGGUGCGGCCAUUUUUCCUCCUGGUCCCUGUUUCCAUGGAAACAGGUCUUGGCUGCUGAACAAAGCAACAUCCAUAAGGGUCAGACGGUAAUAGGCAUAAUAUUUACACAUUGCACACAUAGAAAGGCAGAACAAUGACACCACCAAUGUCCUCGUCCUUUAAAACAGAGCCUUUUUGUCCAGUCAGGUGGUAGAUGACGCAUGCAUGUUCCCAGAAAAUUAAUGAUUUUUUUUCUGACAGAGGAACCCCAAUGAUGGACAUGACGGGGCUAGACCUACAUCUGAGGAAGAUCCCUGUGCCCCCUCCAAAGCUUCAUCCUCCUCCUCCUCCUUCUUAAAGACAGUGUAGAAGAUGUAGACUAAGAGGGAGUAGAAGGCGUACAUCUCUACACCAUCCAAGUCCCCCUGUAAAUGACAGAUUCACUAAAUAAUCACAUAUAUCUCUAGAUCUUGCAGCAGAAAAGCAGACAAAAUAUUAUAUUUCUCACCCUGAUAAUAACACUCAAGUCUUGACUAUAAUCAAAGGAUGCAUGAAUAUAAAAACUGGUCUCGACACAUCAGGACUUCUCAAGAGACUACAUUCUUUUCUAUUUUAACCGUCAUCCCACUCAAACAUGCUGAAAUAUUUCUUUUUUUGUUUUACCUUAUUACAUAUCUGUUCCUCUUUGAUGAUGACAAUCUGACCUCCAAGUCAUUUGUAUUCCCCCUUCACACUCCAUCUGUGUUUUCAAUGACAAAUCUUCCCAUGCAGCCCUUGUUCUCAGAGCUGCAACAGCAUCCCAGCGUUGUGUGUGUGUGUGACUCCCUCUCUGCCGUUCUCUCUCCUCCCCUUUCUCCUCCCCUCCACUUUGUUCCAUCUCCACUACAGGCUGCAUCUGCAGCGAGCAUGCUCAGUGCAGUCUCUUCAUCCGCUGCAGUGGAGGGGUGACGGAGUCGGUAUGGAGACUAAUUGAGCCAGGAGGGGGUUGACGCUGAUACCAGCAGCCAGAGACAGCGGUGGAUGAGAUGUGCCAGCUGCUCAUACAAAUCAUAAACUACAAUAUAAUGCACUUGCAAAUAUUGGGAUGUUUGCAAGGACUGUAAACGGUACAACAAUUGGACACUUGAACAUGAGCCAAGAGAACUUUCAAAUGCAAUGUAAAAUGACAUUACUGGAGUGAUAUUUUGAUAAACAUUUACAUCAUUUAUUAUAAUAUAUAUUUAGAGGUUAUGUCGAUGUAAUCUUCCUUGAGUGUACAUUUACAUUUUGUAUCAACCAAAAGCAAUUAAAUAAAAAUUACAUGAG